CCAGCAAGUAGCGUUGGGCACUCUAGCCAGACUGCCGGUGAUAAAUCGGAGGAAGGUGGGGACGACGUCAAAUCAUCAUGCCCUUUAUGUCCUGGGCUACACACGUACUACAAUGGCCGUUACAACGGGAAGCGAAGGAGCAAUCCGGAGCAAAUCCCUUAAAGGCGGUCCCAGUUCAGAUUGUGGGCUGAAACUCGCCCACAUGAAGGCGGAAUUGCUAGUAAUUGCAGAUCAGCAUGCUGCAGUGAAUACGUUCCCCGGGCCUU
Molecule: ribosomal RNA, 266 nt
Filed under: uncultured Oscillospiraceae bacterium
Lineage: Bacteria; Bacillati; Bacillota; Clostridia; Eubacteriales; Oscillospiraceae
Description: partial 16S ribosomal RNA
Rfam family: Bacterial small subunit ribosomal RNA
Source: RNAcentral